UGGCGGCAGGCCUAACACAUGCAAGUCGAGCGGAAACGAGUUAUCUGAACCUUCGGGGAACGAUAACGGCGUCGAGCGGCGGACGGGUGAGUAAUGCCUAGGAAAUUGCCCUGAUGUGGGGGAUAACCAUUGGAAACGAUGGCUAAUACCGCAUAAUGCCUACGGGCCAAAGAGGGGGACCUUCGGGCCUCUCGCGUCAGGAUAUGCCUAGGUGGGAUUAGCUAGUUGGUGAGGUAAUGGCUCACCAAGGCGACGAUCCCUAGCUGGUCUGAGAGGAUGAUCAGCCACACUGGAACUGAGACACGGUCCAGACUCCUACGGGAGGCAGCAGUGGGGAAUAUUGCACAAUGGGCGCAAGCCUGAUGCAGCCAUGCCGCGUGUGUGAAGAAGGCCUUCGGGUUGUAAAGCACUUUCAGUCGUGAGGAAGGUAGUGUAGUUAAUAGCUGCAUUAUUUGACGUUAGCGACAGAAGAAGCACCGGCUAACUCCGUGCCAGCAGCCGCGGUAAUACGGAGGGUGCGAGCGUUAAUCGGAAUUACUGGGCGUAAAGCGCAUGCAGGUGGUUUGUUAAGUCAGAUGUGAAAGCCCGGGGCUCAACCUCGGAAUUGCAUUUGAAACUGGCAGACUAGAGUACUGUAGAGGGGGGUAGAAUUUCAGGUGUAGCGGUGAAAUGCGUAGAGAUCUGAAGGAAUACCGGUGGCGAAGGCGGCCCCCUGGACAGAUACUGACACUCAGAUGCGAAAGCGUGGGGAGCAAACAGGAUUAGAUACCCUGGUAGUCCACGCCGUAAACGAUGUCUACUUGGAGGUUGUGGCCUUGAGCCGUGGCUUUCGGAGCUAACGCGUUAAGUAGACCGCCUGGGGAGUACGGUCGCAAGAUUAAAACUCAAAUGAAUUGACGGGGGCCCGCACAAGCGGUGGAGCAUGUGGUUUAAUUCGAUGCAACGCGAAGAACCU
This 955-nucleotide ribosomal RNA is filed under the name Vibrio rotiferianus. RNAcentral describes it as "bacterial SSU rRNA". It matches the Rfam family "Bacterial small subunit ribosomal RNA", at positions 37 to 971 of the family's 1533-position model. Lineage: Bacteria; Pseudomonadati; Pseudomonadota; Gammaproteobacteria; Vibrionales; Vibrionaceae. The record is from RNAcentral.